RNAcentral lists this ribosomal RNA (1538 nucleotides) under uncultured bacterium. RNAcentral's name for it is "16S ribosomal RNA". It matches the Rfam family "Bacterial small subunit ribosomal RNA". The record is from RNAcentral.
GAGUUUGAUCCUGGCUCAGGACGAACGCUGGCGGCGUGCCUAAUACAUGCAAGUCGAGCGGGAACCUCGGGAGGGGUAACCCUUCCGAGGGGAGAGCGGCGAACGGGUGAGUAACACGUGGGCAACCUGCCCCGGACACCGGGAUAACUCAGGGAAACCUGGGCUAAUACCGGAUACCUCGGCGUGAUCGCAUGGUCGUGCCGGGAAAGCUCCGACGGUCCGGGAUGGGCCCGCGGCCUAUCAGCUUGUUGGUGGGGUAACGGCCUACCAAGGCGGCGACGGGUAGCUGGUCUGAGAGGACGGCCAGCCACACUGGGACUGAGACACGGCCCAGACUCCUACGGGAGGCAGCAGUAGGGAAUCUUGCGCUAAUGCGCGAAAGCGUGACGCAGCGACGCCGCGUGCGGGAUGAAGGCCCUCGGGUCGUAAACCGCUUUCGGCAGGGACGAAGCGAAAGUGACGGUACCUGCAGAAGAAGUCCCGGCUAACUACGUGCCAGCAGCCGCGGUAACACGUAGGGGACGAGCGUUGUCCGGAUUCAUUGGGCGUAAAGCGCGCGUAGGCGGCUCGGAAAGUCGGUCGUGAAAUCCUGGGGCUCAACCCCGGAACUGCGUCCGAUACUUCCGAGCUGGAGGCAGGUAGGGGAGAUCGGAAUUCCUGGUGUAGCGGUGAAAUGCGCAGAUAUCAGGAGGAACACCGGUGGCGAAGGCGGAUCUCUGGGCCUUGCCUGACGCUGAGGCGCGAAAGCUAGGGGAGCGAACAGGAUUAGAUACCCUGGUAGUCCUAGCCGUAAACGUUGGGUGCUAGGUGUGGGCGGAUAUCGACCCCGUCCGUGCCGAAGCUAACGCAUUAAGCACCCCGCCUGGGGAGUACGGCCGCAAGGCUAAAACUCAAAGGAAUUGACGGGGGCCCGCACAAGCGGCGGAGCAUGCGGCUUAAUUCGAUGCGACGCGAAUAACCUUUACCUGGCCUGGACUUCUCGAGAACUUUUCAGAGAUGGAGGGGGUCCUUCACUAACUCGAGCACAGGUGUGCGUGGAUGUUGUCAGCUCGUGUUUUGAGAUGUCUGGUUCAGUCCUGCAAAGAGCGCGACGGUUUUGCUCAGUUGCCAGCACGUAAUGGUGGCCCUCUAAGGAGACUCAGGGUGCCAAACCGGAGGAAGGUGUGGAAGACGUCAAGUCAUCACGGUCCUUUCGGCCAGGGUUGCACUCGAAGUACAGUGGUAGGGAGAGAGGGCCGUGAGCGGUGGCGCUACACAAUGCCAGAAAACCAUCUCAGUCUUUAUUGGAGUAUGCAACUCCUUCCAUGAAGUCGGAAUGGCUUAGUAAUACCAGAUUAGCAUAGCUCCGAGGACUAAUUUCCGGGGCAAUGUACACCCGGUCCGCGUCCCCACCGGACGUCACCCCACGAAAGUGGGCAACACCCGAAGCCGGUGGCCCAACCCUUGUGGAGGGAGCCGUCGAAGGUGGGGCUCGCGAUUGGGGUGAAGUCGUAACAAGGUAGCCGUACCGGAAGGUGCGGCUGGAUCACCUCCUUUCU